UAGAUAGAUAGAUAGAUAGAUAGAUAGAUAGAUAGAUAGAUAGAAGACAAAUGACAAGUCAAUGAGCAAAAUACAAAACUAGGGUGAAAAAAAGGGAAACAAGGUUACGCAUGAAAUCCCAAGUACAUUCUGUGACCUAGUUUUAAUUUCCUUUAUUUUCAAUCUUUAUUUCUCCCUUCAUUUCCUGAGCUGAUGGGAGGACAGAUGAUAAGCCACAUCAAUCUACGUUUCAGCUGGUAUCAGUGAUGCAAAACAGGAUUCUAGGCAACAGAAAAGAAAAAAAAUAUCUCAUUCAAAGUGCUUUUGAAAAUCCCCUGUACACUGUAAUGUUUAAAACAUGAGGGUUAAAACAUGCAUAUUAAUGAGUCACUGGUAACUGAAGUCUAAAAAGACAAUAAAAGGCAGUUUAAUUAGAUUAGAUUUUGAUUGGAAUUAUUCAUCAGGGGUAAUUGACAGUCCCUUUCGAGAGUCCACGUAAACUGUUGUAUUUAUUAAUCUGUGGAGCAAAUGCCAACUUUUAGAGCAAUUAUCUAUUAUGUGGCCCCGAGAAGGCCAUGUCGCUUUGGCCUGUUUUUUUUUUUUUUGUUUUGUUUUGUUUUGUUAUUUUUUAUUGAUUCAUUUAUUACAGCAAUUACAAUUACAGCAAAUGCAAUGUCUUGAUGCUUUAGACAUAAACCUAAGAUUCCCUGAGGAGUGAGGCUGUUUUUCAUCGUAUACAUAGUUUUAAAGUCAGACUAUGUAACCUUUGCUAAACUGUGGCCAUUGUGGUAAUUAUAAGAAAAUGUCAUUUGUCUUGAUUCCCUUGCAUUCUCUUGAGCCAGCUGCAGGGCUGCAAGACCUAAAAUGGAGAGUAACAGGAGCAUUUGUAGAGAGACACAGUCUCAGCAAAGGUAGAUACCUCAUGAAUGUCGCCUUGACAGCAUCUAUGUAAAGUUAAUGUUAAUUACUACAAGCCACAGGUUGACUCAUAGACUGUAAAUGAAGAUGGAUGUAGCCACCUUGAUGUCACCCACAGGUUUCUGAAGAGCGGUUCUGAAGCUCAGCUGCUGCAGUGUCUGACUCCACCAAAACUCCCAGCUAGUCCAAAAAUGGGCGAAGACGUGGAGCACAGACGGCGCGUGACGGUUUGUGGCAAGUAUACGCACUUAAAGCGGCCACGCCCUCAAUUAUGCAGAACUUUAACUCUUCAUAAACUUUGAGUAAACGGGUGAGUUAUAUAAAAAUUCACCUCCCAUACAGUUGUCAAGAAGGGGAACAUUAGCUAAAGAGACCAAAACUGUUUUUUAAACUCGAAUGUAAACAUGUUUAUUUCUGCUGUAAAAUUGAACAUUUUAACACGUGAGGCUGUAGGGAUUGACUCGCUUUUGGAGUCAGCCUCCAGUGGACAUUGGAGUGACUGCAGUUUUUAACACUUCUCUGUUGGCUUCGUUUUUCAGCUGCUUGACUAAACCUCGUGGAGCUGUGGCAGGAAAACUUCAGUCUUCAGUGUGAUGAAAUGAGAUAUAUUUAACUUUUCAUUUAUGUCACAGUCUAACAUUAACUGGUAUCAUGAAACUGAACAAUUACUAUAGAAGAGGAAACAAAUAUAUUUUUAUUUGCAUGAAAAUGUCACAAACGUUUGUCUUUUACAAAUAUUUGUCUUAUUUUUCUUUAUUUUAUUGUCAUCUUCUUUUUUUGGAGCAGCGGACAGGAUGCCCCAGAUAUUCAAGGCCUCCAGCGGACCGGUAGACGAGUUGAGAAAGAGACCCUCUUCCCCACACAGGCAUCCCUCAGUCACCAGGCGCCCUGCUGACCCUGUCUCUCUUCCCUCCUAACCCUGGGUCUCGUAACCAUCUCGCAGUGGAACCGCUCAUCCCUAUCAGUGCAGACCUGUUGGCAGGAACCCUGCAGUAUUUAUAUGAGAGAAAGGAGAGAUAGAGGAGGGGUGGAGGAAGGAAGGGAUACGGCGGGGGGGUGAAAAGAGAAAUAGAGGAAGAGCAGCAGAAAAAAGCCCAAGACAAAGUCACAACAACAACAAUUUAUAUGAAGGAGAGUGCUGCUUAUACAAGAAUGACGCAGAGCACUUUCAAGACAGGCAGACAGCAGCAAACCACCUGGGAGCAGCCUCUCUCCUGCAGACUGAGUGGAUCCCAGUCAAACGCUGACAGCCUCACGUGGAAGCGAGGAGACAGACCCUGAAAUGUUCUGCCACCUGUCACUCAAACUGACAACGUGAUGUGAAAAGAAUUAAAAGCAAAUAAAAAAUGA
Molecule: long non-coding RNA, 2247 nt
Organism: Seriola aureovittata
Lineage: Eukaryota; Metazoa; Chordata; Actinopteri; Carangiformes; Carangidae
Exons: 3
Source: RefSeq, a predicted model, not a curated record